This 73-nucleotide transfer RNA is filed under the name Lentzea sp. NBRC 102530. Its description in RNAcentral is "tRNA-Leu". The record is from RNAcentral. Lineage: Bacteria; Bacillati; Actinomycetota; Actinomycetes; Pseudonocardiales; Pseudonocardiaceae.
UCAUGGAGGGCUAUUGGGGCGAGCCGUCUCUGAGCGAGACGGCGGAGGGCUGGUUCAACACCGGCGACAUGGG